AUCAUGUUGCCUACACAACACAUCUUCGCUUGAAAUGUGCAGUAUGUGGGCGGAGCCUGGUCUCCUGUGCCUAGGGUACGGUUGGCCCAAAAAGAAGUCUUGUUAGAGGGAUAGGGACGCAUGACUGGUGGUGGUUGAUUAGACGGUCUUCCAGUGUUGUGUGCUUUAAUUCUUGAUGGUAAAGACUCUUACAAUACCCUGAUGUGUUGUCUUAUGAUAACUCUUUGAUG
This 230-nucleotide ribosomal RNA is filed under the name Ageratina luciae-brauniae. Its description in RNAcentral is "partial internal transcribed spacer 2". The record is from RNAcentral. Lineage: Eukaryota; Viridiplantae; Streptophyta; Magnoliopsida; Asterales; Asteraceae.